AGCCCUAAGUGGGUGGUAAACUCCAUCUAAGGCUAAAUAUGACCACGAGACCGAUAGCGAACAAGUACCGUGAGGGAAAGUUGAAAAGCACUUUGAAGAGAGAGUUCAAGAGUACGUGAAACCGUUUAGGGGUAAACCUGAGAAACCCGAAAGGUCGAAGGGAGAAAUUCAUUCGCGUUUCGCGGUCGGCGUGAGGUGGUCGCGAGACGGAGGAUGCGUUCGCGUAUCUUCCGCUCCUUCUGCUUUACGAUCCGAUAGCGAACGCGUGCACUUUUCUCCUGGUAGGACGUCGCGAUCCGUUGGGUGUCAGUCUACGGCUCUCGGUGGAGACCGUUCGUACGGCUUGCCGCUACGGACGGACCCGAGUGUCCCGGCUGACUCGCUCGACGGUAUACGAAAGGUUUAAGGCCGCUUUUAAAGCGUUCGACUCGUCGCAAGCGCGCCAGAUGUUGUCGGUGAUCGGACCUGGUGCCGGUUCUGACCUCUGGUGACUGUUGGCGACGAAGUUCUCGAACAGACCUUCGACCGAUCUGCGACGCUAUAGCUUUGGGUACUUUCAG
This 560-nucleotide ribosomal RNA is filed under the name Tanymecus palliatus. RNAcentral's name for it is "partial 28S ribosomal RNA". It matches the Rfam family "Eukaryotic large subunit ribosomal RNA", at positions 284 to 645 of the family's 3401-position model. Lineage: Eukaryota; Metazoa; Arthropoda; Insecta; Coleoptera; Curculionidae. The record is from RNAcentral.